RNAcentral lists this unclassified non-coding RNA (330 nucleotides) under soil metagenome. Its description in RNAcentral is "partial contains 5.8S ribosomal RNA, internal transcribed spacer 2, and large subunit ribosomal RNA". The stretch from base 1 to 120 matches the Rfam family "5.8S ribosomal RNA", at positions 35 to 154 of the family's 154-position model. The record is from RNAcentral.
GAUGAAGAACGUAGCGAAAUGCGAUAAGUAAUGUGAAUUGCAGAAUUCAGUGAAUCAUCGAAUCUUUGAACGCACAUUGCGCCCCCUGGUAUUCCGGGGGGCAUGCCUGUUCGAGCAUCAUUUCACCACUCAAGCCUCGCUUGGUAUUGGGCAACGCGGUCCGCCGCGUGCCUCAAAUCGACCGGCUGGGUCUUCUGUCCCCUAAGCGUUGUGGAAACUAUUCGCUAAAGGGUGUUCGGGAGGCUACGCCGUAAAACAACCCCAUUUCUAAGGUUGACCUCGGAUCAGGUAGGGAUACCCGCUGAACUUAAGCAUAUCAAUAAGCGAGGA